RNA transcript from Humulus lupulus (European hop), 1398 nucleotides. It is a transcript of the gene named auxin response factor 19-like, with no coding region annotated. The transcript has 6 exons. The record is from RefSeq and is a predicted model, not a curated record. Lineage: Eukaryota; Viridiplantae; Streptophyta; Magnoliopsida; Rosales; Cannabaceae.
GCACUUCUGAGGUCUGACCUUGCUCUCAAGACAAAUAAACCCCAACCUGAGUUUUUCUGUAAAACGCUAAUAGCAAGUGAUAAAAGUACUCAUGGAGCUUGCUCUAUGCUCCGCCGUGCAGCAGAGAAGAUUUUUCCACCUCUUACAACCAAAACGCCACUUGCUUACAACUGGAUGGAGUCUAUUUGCCAGUGGAAAGAGGCUUUUUGCUGGUGACUCUUUUCUAUUUAUCAGGUAUGAUGAACUGAGGUUAUAUAUUUUUUAUGAAAUGCAAAGUACUUUUUGUUUAAACCUCUUUAACUUCACUUUUUGUGAUCAAGGAUGAAAAGCAACUUCUACUUCUCGGUAUUAGACGAGCUAACAUGCAACCUACGAACCACCAUCAUCUGUAUUUCCAAGUGACAGUAUGCAUAUUAGAAUUCUGGCAGCUGCCACUCAUGCUGCAGCCAACAAUAGUCCCAUCACAACGUUCUACCAUCCUAGGGCUAAUCCAUCAAAAUUUGUUAUUCCUUUAGCCAAGUACUACAAGGCAGUGUGUGGAAACCAAAUAUCACCCGACAUGCGUUUUCGUACAAUGUUUGAAACCGAAGAGUUUGGAACAAGAAGGAAAAUGAAUUCCUUUGGCAGGUAUAUGUGUACAAUCACAGAUAUUAGUGAUCUUGAUCCCGCUAGUUGGAAGAAUUCACAAUGGCGUAAUUUGCAGGUUGGUUGGGACGAAUCAACUUCGGGGAAAGGCGUAAUAGGGUUUCAAUCUGGGAGAUUGAACCUGUUACAACUCCAUUUUUUAUCUUCCCCCUCCAUUUUUUAGAUCAAAACGUCCUAGGCAACUGAAAAUGCCAGGAUUUGGCGAGUGAUGUUGUGCAUUAAGUUCAUGAUGCCAAAUUUCCACAAGAACUUGUGUUUUUGAGAUCUUUUGUGAAGUUGUACUAUUUUUUUUCAUACUUGUACACACUUUAAUUUUAGGGGAUACAUUCAUUAUCUUUUACUCAUGAUAUAUGAUUAAGUAUUCUAUGUUUACACACAAUUUAUUUUUUUAAUAUAAGUUGUUGAGGUUAAGUAUUACAAUUUUUUUUUUCUGCAUUUCUAUUAUGCUAUUGAAGCUUAAGGAUUAUUGAAUGGUGUGGACGCUUUUUAAGCAAUUUUUUUUAUUUCUGGUAUGAUUUCAACGACAGUUAAAAACUGUCUCCAUAGAGAGCCAACCACGAUAGCUAAUAACUGUUGGCGUUGUUAAAAACGGCGAUAGCUAAUAACUGUUGGCGUUAUCAGCAACAGCGACAGUUUUUAACUGUCGGAGUUGCCAGCAACAGCGACAGUUUUUAACUAUUGGCGUUGCUACCCCUACGCUGGCAUAGGCAAAUACAUCAGUUAGUCAGCUGUCGUUGUUGUUCAAUAGCGACA